GCCAGCAGCCAUAUCACCCUGCAACUCACAACUGGCAGCCCACUGAAGCUAAGCAGGUGUGAGCCUGGUCAGUACCUGGAUGGGAGACCUCCUGGGAAAAACUAAGGUUGCUGCAGGAA
Lepisosteus oculatus (spotted gar) is the source of this 119-nucleotide ribosomal RNA. The record is from Ensembl. NCBI's taxonomy places the organism in Eukaryota, Metazoa, Chordata, Actinopteri, Semionotiformes, Lepisosteidae.